CCACGGGGCGUGGUCAAGGCGGCGGCCCCUAGAGGGGGAGAGGGUCUGUGUGCACGUGGACCCGUCCUGGAGCGGCGAGAAUCCGGAGUUUCCAGGGAAGUGAAGCAGCAAAAGCAGGUGCCCUUCUCCAGUCCGGCGGGUGGGGGUGGCCCUCCAGCAACUGGAACGCAAAGCCUCUGCACGCUGGUCCUUCCUGAGCCUCUCGGGAAAUGAGUUCUUCCCUGGUCCAAGCUGAGAAGGGAGGAAAAGUGUUAAAUCUGACACUGGGUUUCACACUCAGUGUUUUAGAUGUUAUUCUUUAGGUUUGUCAUUUCCCAUUCACGUUGGUGACGCCACAAGUCCGUAUCGCUAACCAGAUCCUGCUCAAAAACCACAGGCUUCUGACAGCCGCCUAGUGGACGCUUUCACCUGGAAGUCCUGCAGACCCCUCACAAUUCAGUCGUUAAAAGCUGGUUUCACGAUUUCAUUAGGACCCCUAUCUUACUACCACCUCUGCCACAUUUGGUAAAACUGGGCAGUUGGCCAAGGCAAAAGGAAGAGCUCUGGGCUUCCCUGGUGGCGCAGUGGUUGAGAGUCCGCCUGCUGAUGCAGGGGACACGGGUUCGCGCCCCGGUCCGGGAAGAUCCCACAUGCCGUGGACUGGCUAGGCCCGUGAGCCAUGGCCGCUGAGCCUGCGCGUCCGGAGCCUGUGCUCCGCAACGGGAGAGGCCACAACAGUGAGAGGCUCGCGUACCGGAAAAAAAAAAAAGGAAGAGCUCUGUCCUAGGGUCAUUCUUCACACUCUCCUCCACUGUGACACCUGGGACAUUGUACUGAGCAUCUGUAGUAGAAACCACAUCUGCACUGCCUCUGCCUUGGUUCACGUGUUCACCUUUUCCCUCUCUUGUAGACUUUCACCUCUUUUUUGAGUCUCCGUGCCUCUGUGUAGUCUUACAACACUGUCCUCCCAUGCUGCCAGCUGAUAAAUGGAAUAUUGCCUGUCGUAUCAGUAAACAGAGAAUGUCAGUCAUCAGCGAUUGCAGCCACAGCUGAUGGUGAGCUGAUGCGCCUUGAGGAAACUCAGGAUAUUAAAACACAGGAUGCUGGCCCCAGAUAGCUGAGGUGCAUAUCAAAGGAAUGAUUUCGGGGCUGAAACGACUCGCCAGCACCUUUGUGCUCAAAGGAACUUCCCUGGAGCCCAGAUGUAUGACUAAGGAAGGAUGGCGAAUAGACAGUCACUCAUUCAUUCUGGAUUUAUUGAGUACCCACCGCGUGCCAGACUGUGCGCUAAGUGCUGAGGUUUAUGACUGUAAACAAAGCAGCCAUGGGCCCUGCCCCCAUGGAGUCACAGGCCAGUGAGAAGGACGGAUACUGAACAAAUGGACACAAACUUAUUUACGCAACUACAAGUUGAGAUGUGUACUAUGAAAGAAAAGAGCAGGGUGUCUGACAGAGAAUGACUGGGGUACCUGAUUUUGGAAGAAGAUCUACAAGGCCUCUGAGAGAAAAGGCCAUCUAUGCUGAGACGUGCCGUCAGCCAGGCAAAGAAGAGGAGGAAGAGUGUUUGAAGCAGUGGAUCCUCAGGCAGAGGUCCUGAAGCAGCAAAGAGCUUGGUACAUUCCAGGGACUUCAGACAAACCAACCAACAACAAGUGAGUAAAAGUAGAGGAGACUGGAGAAAUGAGGGUCCAGGAAGGGCCUUGUAAACUCUAUCAGACAAGAUCCCAGAGGAAAUAGAUAGCACCCUCAAGCUGGGUAGAGAGUUUAAUAAAGGACUAUUAGGGGGGCUUCCCCGGUGGCGCAGUUGUUAAGAGUCCGCCUGCCAAUUCAGGGGACGCGGGUUUGAGCCUCGGUCCGGGAAGAUCCCACAUGCCGCGGAGUAGCUGAGCCCGUGUGCCACAACUACCGAGCCCUCAUGCCACAACUACUGAAGCCUGAGUGCCUAGAGCCCAUGCUUCACAACAAGAGAAGCCACCACAGUGAGUAGCCCAUGCACUGCAAUGAAGAGUAGCCCCUGCUCGCCGCAACUAGAGAAAGCCCGUGCACAGCAACAAAGACCCAACGCAGCCCAAAAUAAAAUAAAUAUAUAAAAUUUCAAAAGAGGACUAUUAGGGAUUGUGUAAAGCCCUGAGGCUCCUAACAGCAGAUGGGCCAAGAAAGGAAGUGGUCACCAGAACCUGAGAAAUAGGGCCACCUGCCAGAGCCGUGGCCUUGGGUCAGGAGAUGCAGCAACUCAUGGCAACCUGGAAGGAAGGGGACUGGGAGUGUUCGUACUGUGACCUCAGUGCAGGGAGGCCAGGGUGUGAGGGAGGAGGAUACGAGGACAGUCUGUGGAGGCCGGCCUCCCAGAGGAUAGAGUGGAGAAGGCAUGUGGAACGGAAGACAUCACAUACACCUUGGGGCAGCCGAGGGCUUCUCUAUCCCUCCCCAGUGCUGCCAUUUCCCUGUUUAUCCUUCUACCUCAUUUAAUCUAGUGCAGCCACUUACUCUGGAAAUCCAGAAUGAAGGGUAGUGUAGUGCAGUGGCUCUCCAGCCUAAGUGGGCACCAGCAGCACCUGGAGGGCUGGCUAAGCUACACGGCUGAGCCCCAUCUCAGUGUCUGACUCGUUGGGCUGAGGCUUGAGAGUCUGCAUUUCUAACAAUUUGCACUCCCAAGUGUUAUUUAUUUUUUUAACAUCUUUAUUGGGGUAUAAUUGCUUUACAAUGGUGUGUUAGUUUCUGCUUUAUAACAAAGUGAAUCAGUUAUAUAUAUACAUAUGUUCCCAUAUCUCCCCCCUCUUGCGUCUCCCACCCUCCCUAUCCCACCCCUCUAGGUGGUCACAAAGCACCGAGCUGAUCUCCCUGUGCUAUGCAGCUGCUUCCCACUAGCUAUCUACCUUACGUUUGGUAGUGUAUAUAUGUCCAUGCCACUCUCUCGCUUUGUCACAGCUCACCCUUCCCCCUCCCCAUAACCUCAAGUCCGUUCUCUAGUAGGUCUGUGUCUUUAUUCCAAGUGUUAUUGAGACAGCUGUCUUGGGACAUUUUGCUAACUACUGUGUAGUAACUGACAAGAGUGUAUAGACUCUGGAAUUAAAUGGGACUUGUUUCAGA
Molecule: long non-coding RNA, 3069 nt
Organism: Orcinus orca (killer whale)
Lineage: Eukaryota; Metazoa; Chordata; Mammalia; Artiodactyla; Delphinidae
Exons: 2
Source: RefSeq, a predicted model, not a curated record